GCUAGUGUAGCUUAAUUUAAAGUAUGGCACUGAAGAUGCUAAGAUGAAAAAUAACAUUUUUCCGCAGGCA
Molecule: transfer RNA, 70 nt
Filed under: Galeus melastomus (blackmouth catshark)
Lineage: Eukaryota; Metazoa; Chordata; Chondrichthyes; Carcharhiniformes; Scyliorhinidae
Description: tRNA-Phe
Rfam family: tRNA
About the family: Transfer RNA (tRNA) molecules are approximately 80 nucleotides in length. Their secondary structure includes four short double-helical elements and three loops (D, anti-codon, and T loops).
Source: RNAcentral